This 467-nucleotide ribosomal RNA is filed under the name uncultured bacterium. RNAcentral's name for it is "partial 16S ribosomal RNA". It matches the Rfam family "Bacterial small subunit ribosomal RNA", at positions 28 to 506 of the family's 1533-position model. The record is from RNAcentral.
GACGAACGCUGGCGGCGUGCUUAACACAUGCAAGUCGAACGGAAAGGCCCUGCUUUUGUGGGGUGCUCGAGUGGCGAACGGGUGAGUAACACGUGAGUAACCUGCCCUUGACUUUGGGAUAACUUCAGGAAACUGGGGCUAAUACCGGAUAGGAGCUCCUGCUGCAUGGUGGGGGUUGGAAAGUUUCGGCGGUUGGGGAUGGACUCGCGGCUUAUGAGCUUGUUGGUGGGGUAGUGGCUUACCAAGGCUUUGACGGGUAGCCGGCCUGAGAGGGUGACCGGCCACAUUGGGACUGAGAUACGGCCCAGACUCCUACGGGAGGCAGCAGUGGGGAAUAGUGCACAAUGGGCGGAAGCCUGAUGCAGCAACGCCGCGUGCGGGAUGACGGCCUUCGGGUUGUAAACCGCUUUCGCCUGUGACGAAGCGUGAGGGACGGGAAUGGGGAAAGAAGCACCGGCGAACUACGG